Molecule: long non-coding RNA, 5551 nt
Organism: Carassius gibelio (silver crucian carp)
Lineage: Eukaryota; Metazoa; Chordata; Actinopteri; Cypriniformes; Cyprinidae
Exons: 5
Source: RefSeq, a predicted model, not a curated record
UAUUAUGUGCCUUUUAAAAAUAGUAAGUGUUCCUACUUAUGUAGUUAAAUAGCAUUUUGUUGAAUUAGAAUACAUGUAAGUCCAAACUGCCAAAGUACCCAGAUUUUAUUUUAGCUGUGCUAAUAAAGUAGGAGGUGCCUUGCAUGAAAUGGGCAUCGUUUUCCUCUACUUUUAUAAGCUGACAUUUCUACAUGUCUCAAAGUUAUGCAAAGUCUCAGAACUGACUCUGAAUGCAUGCAGUUCCAGAUUGGUAAACUGAAAUGUUUUUUAUAAUGGCUGCACAUAUUUGGUGAUGUCCCUUAUGACAAUUGUUUAUUAUUAUUAUUAUUAUUAUUGGAAUAGAUAAAUGUAAUGUUUUAUAACUCUAUAUGUGAAAUACUUGCUAGCUCUUAAAAAAACCAUACAGUAAAAUGUUUUCCGUGGAUUUACUCAUAGAUUUUAGAAAACAUUACAUUUCUCUAUGAGCCUCUGAAGUGAAUAUACCCUUUAUCUUUAUAGCCCCCUAAAGCACAAUAUAGGUCCAUAUCUCAUUAAUGUUGCAGUAGACUGGGUUUUAUAUCAAACCAUUAUGUGUGCAUAUAGUAUGGGAUGUCCCUUAUGAGAACUGACCAUUGUUUUUUUCUACUUAUUAGAAAUGGGAUCUUUAAAGCCCGUUAAAGUGUAAUAAUGUCCCAUAUCUCAAAAGUCCUGCAGUAAAAUGGUUUGAUAUGAGGUGUGCAUAUAGUAUGGGACGUCCCUGAUAAGAACUGACCAUUGUUUUUUUCUACUUAUUAGAAAUGGGAUCUUUAUAGCCCUUUAAAGUGUAAUAAUGUCCCAUAUCUUGAAAAUGCUGCAGUAAAAUGGUUUGAUAUGAGGUGUGCAUAUAGUAUGGGACAUCCCUGAUAAGAACUGACCAUUGUUUUUUUCUACUUAUUAGAAAUGGGAUCUUUACAGCCAUUUAAAGUGUAAUAAUGUCCCGUAUCUUGAAAAUGCUGCAGUAAAAUGGUUUGAUAUGAGGUGUGCAUAUAGUAUGGGACGUCCCUGAUAAGAACUGACUAUUGUUUUUUUCUACUUAUUAGAAAUGGUGUCUUUAUAGCCCUCUAAAUCAUUGUAUUGUCCCAUAUCUGAAAAAUGCUGCAGUAAAAUGGUUUGAAAUGAGGUGUGCAUAUAGUAUGGGACAUCCCAGAUAAGAACUGACUGUUGUUUUUUUCUACUUAUUAGAAAUGAUGUCUUUUUAGCCCUCCAAAUCACCAUUUGGACCCAUAUCUCGAAAAUGCUGCAGUAAAAUGGUUUGAUAUGAGGUGUGCAUAUAGUAUGGCAUGUCCUUUAUAAGAACUGACCAUUGUUUUUUUCUACUUAUUAGAAAUUAUGUCUUUAUAGCCCUCCAAAUCACCAUUUGGACCCAUAUCUCAAAAAUGCUGCAGUAAAAGGGUUUGAUAUGAGGUGUGCAUAUAGUAUGGGAUGUCCUUUAUAAGAACUGACCAUUGUUUUUUUCUACUUAUUAGAAAUGAUGUCUUUAUAGCCCUCCAAAUCACCAUUUGGACCCAUAUCUCAAAAAUGCUGCAGUAAAAGGGUUUGAUAUGAGGUGUGCAUAUAGUAUGGGAUGUCCUUUAUAAGAACUGACCAUUGUUUUUUUCUACUUAUUAGAAAUGAGAUCUUUAUGACCCUUUAAAUUGUAAUAAUGUCCCAUAUCUUGAAAAUGCUGCAGUAAAAUGGUUUGAUAUGAGGUGUGCAUAUAGUAUGGGACAUCCCUGAUAAGAACUGACCAUUGUUUUUUUCUACUUAUUAGAAAUGGGAUCUUUACAGCCAUUUAAAGUGUAAUAAUGUCCCAUAUCUCGAAAAUGCUGCAGUAAAAUGGUUUGAUAUGAGGUGUGCAUAUAGUAUGGCAUGUCCUUUAUAAGAACUGACCAUUGUUUUUUUCUACUUAUUAGAAAUUAUGUCUUUACAGCCCUCCAAAUCACCAUUUGGACCCAUAUCUCAAAAAUGCUGCAUUAAAAUUGUUUGAUAUGAUGUGUGCAUAUAAUAUGGGACGUCCCUGAUAAGAACUGACUAUUCUAUUUUUCUACUUAUUAGAAAUGGGAUCUUUAUAGCCCUUUAAAGUGUAAUAAUGUCCCAUAUCUCAAAAAUGCUGCAGUAAAAGGGUUUGAUAUGAGGUGUGCAUAUAGUAUGGGAUGUCCUUUAUAAGAACUGACCAUUGUUUUUUUCUACUUAUUAGAAAUGGGAUCUUUAUGACCCUUUAAAUUGUAAUAAUGUCCCAUAUCUUGAAAAUGCUGCAGUAAAAUGGUUUGAUAUGAGGUGUGCAUAUAGUAUGGGACAUCCCUGAUAAGAACUGACUGUUGCUUUUUUCUACUUAUUAGAAAUGGGAUCCUUACAGCCAUUUAAAAUGUAAUAAUGUCCCAUAUCUCGAAAAUGCUGCAGUAAAAUGGUUUGAUAUGAGGUGUGCAUAUAGUAUGGGACGUCCCUGAUAAGAACUGACUAUUGUUUUUUUCUACUUAUUAGAAAUGGUGUCUUUAUAGCCCUCUAAAUCAUUGUAUUGUCCCAUAUCUGAAAAAUGCUGCAGUAAAAUGGUUUGAAAUGAGGUGUGCAUAUAGUAUGGGACAUCCCAGAUAAGAACUGACUGUUGUUUUUUUCUACUUAUUAGAAAUGAUGUCUUUUUAGCCCUCCAAAUCACCAUUUGGACCCAUAUCUCGAAAAUGCUGCAGUAAAAUGGUUUGAUAUGAGGUGUGCAUAUAGUAUGGCAUGUCCUUUAUAAGAACUGACCAUUGUUUUUUUCUACUUAUUAGAAAUUAUGUCUUUAUAGCCCUCCAAAUCACCAUUUGGACCCAUAUCUCAAAAAUGCUGCAGUAAAAUGGUUUGAUAUGAGGUGUGCAUAUAGUAUGGCAUAUCCUUUAUAAGAACUGACCAUUGUUUUUUUCUACUUAUUAGAAAUGGGGUCUUUAUAGCCCUUUAAAGUGUAAUAAUGUCCCAUAUCUCAAAAAUGCUGCAGUAAAAGGGUUUGAUAUGAGGUGUGCAUAUAGUAUGGGAUGUCCUUUAUAAGAACUGACCAUUGUUUUUUUCUACUUAUUAGAAAUGAUGUCUUUAUAGCCCUCCAAAUCACCAUUUGGACCCAUAUCUCAAAAAUGCUGCAGUAAAAGGGUUUGAUAUGAGGUGUGCAUAUAGUAUGGGAUGUCCUUUAUAAGAACUGACCAUUGUUUUUUUCUACUUAUUAGAAAUGAGAUCUUUAUGACCCUUUAAAUUGUAAUAAUGUCCCAUAUCUUGAAAAUGCUGCAGUAAAAUGGUUUGAUAUGAGGUGUGCAUAUAGUAUGGGACAUCCCUGAUAAGAACUGACCAUUGUUUUUUUCUACUUAUUAGAAAUGGGAUCUUUACAGCCAUUUAAAGUGUAAUAAUGUCCCAUAUCUCGAAAAUGCUGCAGUAAAAUGGUUUGAUAUGAGGUGUGCAUAUAGUAUGGCAUGUCCUUUAUAAGAACUGACCAUUGUUUUUUUCUACUUAUUAGAAAUUAUGUCUUUACAGCCCUCCAAAUCACCAUUUGGACCCAUAUCUCAAAAAUGCUGCAUUAAAAUUGUUUGAUAUGAUGUGUGCAUAUAAUAUGGGACGUCCCUGAUAAGAACUGACUAUUCUAUUUUUCUACUUAUUAGAAAUGGGAUCUUUAUAGCCCUUUAAAGUGUAAUAAUGUCCCAUAUCUCAAAAAUGCUGCAGUAAAAGGGUUUGAUAUGAGGUGUGCAUAUAGUAUGGGAUGUCCUUUAUAAGAACUGACCAUUGUUUUUUUCUACUUAUUAGAAAUGGGAUCUUUAUGACCCUUUAAAUUGUAAUAAUGUCCCAUAUCUUGAAAAUGCUGCAGUAAAAUGGUUUGAUAUGAGGUGUGCAUAUAGUAUGGGACAUCCCUGAUAAGAACUGACUGUUGCUUUUUUCUACUUAUUAGAAAUGGGAUCUUUACAGCCAUUUAAAGUGUAAUAAUGUCCCAUAUCUCGAAAAUGCUGCAGUAAAAUGGUUUGAUAUGAGGUGUGCAUAUAGUAUGGGAUGUCCCUGAUAAGAACUGAUUUUUGUUUUUUUCUACUUAUUAGAAAUGGGAUCUUUAUGACCCUUUAAAUUGUAAUAAUGUCCCAUAUCUUGAAAAUGCUGCUGUAAAAUGGUUUGAUAUGAUGUGUGCAUAUAGUAUGAAAUGUCCCUGAUAAGAAUUGACAAUUAUUUUUUUCUACUUAUUACAAAUGGGAUCUUUAUAGCCCUUUAAAGUGUAAUAAUGUCCCAUAUCUUGAAAAUGCUGCAGUAAAAUGGUUUGAUAUGAGGUGUGCAUAUAGUAUGGCAUGUCCUUUAUAAGAACUGACCAUUGUUUUUUUCUACUUAUUAGAAAUGGGGUCUUUGUAGCACUCUAAAUCACCAUUUGGACCCAUAUCUCAAAAAUGCUGCAGUAAAAGGGUUUGAUAUGAGGUGUGCAUAUAGUAUGGGACAUCCCUUAUAGGAACAUACCAUUGUUUUUAUCUACUUAUUAGAAAUGGGAUCUUUAUAGCCCUUUAAAAUAUAAUAAUGUCCCAUAUCUCGAAAAUUCUGCAGUAAAAUGGUUUGAUAUGAGGUGUGCAUAUAGUAUGGGAUGUCCCUGAUAAGAACUGACUUUUGUUUUUUUCUACUUAUUAGAAAUGGGAUCUUUACAGCCCUUUAAAGUGUAAAAAUGUCUCGUAUCUUAAAAAUGCUGCAGUAAAAUGGUUUCAUAUGAAGGGUGCAUAUAGUAUGGGACGUCCCUGAUAAGAACUGACUAUUGUUUUUUUCUACUUAUUAGAAAUGUUGUCUUUAUAGCCCUCUAAAUUGCCACAUGGACCCAUAUCUCAAAAAUGCUGCAGUAAAAUGGUUUGAUAUGAUUUGUGCAUAUAGUAUGGAAUGUCCUUUAUAAGAUCUGACCAUUGUUUUUUUCUACUUAUUAGAAAUGGGAUCUUCACAGCCCGUUAAAGUGUAAUAAUUUCCCAUUUCUGGAAAAAGCUGCAGUAAAAUGGUUUGAUAUGAGAUGUGCUCAUAGUAUGGGACGUCACUGAUGAGAACUGACUAUUAUUUUUUUCUACUUAUUAGAAAUGGGGUCUUUAUAGCACUCUAAAUUGCCAUAUGGACCCAUAUCUCAAACAUGCUGCAGUAAAAUGCUUUGAUAUGAGGUGUGCAUAUAGUAUGGCAUGUGCUUUAUAAGAACUGACCAUUGUUUUUUUCUACUUAUUAUAAAUGGUGUCUUUAUAGCCAUCGAAAUCACCAUUUGCACCCAUAUGUCAAAAAUGCUGCAGUAAAAGGUUUUGAUAUGAGGUGUGCAUAUAGUAUGGGAAAUCCCUUAUAGGAACAGACUAUUGUUUUUUUCUACUUAUUAGAAAUGGUGUCUUUAUAGCCCUUUAAAUCAUUGUAUUGUCCCAUAUAUUAAAAAUGCUGCAGUAAAAUGGUUUCAUAUGAAGUGUGCAUAUAGUAUGGGAUGUCCCUGAUAAGAACUGACUAUUGUUUUUUUCUACUUAUUAGAAAUGUUGACUUUAUAGCCCUCUAAAUCGCGAUAUGGACGCAUAUCUCAAAAAUGCUGCAGUAAAAUGGUUUGAUAUGAGGUUUGCAUAUA